RNAcentral lists this transfer RNA (88 nucleotides) under Bacillota bacterium. RNAcentral's name for it is "tRNA-Ser". It matches the Rfam family "tRNA". Rfam says of the family: Transfer RNA (tRNA) molecules are approximately 80 nucleotides in length. Their secondary structure includes four short double-helical elements and three loops (D, anti-codon, and T loops). Lineage: Bacteria; Bacillati; Bacillota. RNAcentral also lists the same sequence under 2 other names. The record is from RNAcentral.
GGAGGGCUAGACCUAACGGUAAGGCAGCGGACUUGAAAUCCGCCGGGCUCUUAAGAAGCCCUUGGGAGUUCGAAUCUCCCGCCCUCCG